AACGCACCUUGCGCCCUUUGGCUAUUCCGAAGGGCAUGCCUGUUUGAGUAUCAUGAACACCUCAACUCUCAUGGCUUGCCAUGAUGAGCUUGGACUUUGGGGGUCUUGCUGGCCUGGGGUCGGCUCCUCUCAAAUGAAUUAGCUUGCCAGUGUUUGGUGGCAUCACAGGUGUGAUAACUAUCUACGCUUGUGGUUUUCCACCAGGUAACCUUCCGCGAUGAAGGUUCGCUGGGGCUCAUAAAUGUCUCUCCUCGGCGAGGACAGCUCUUUGAACGUUUGAUCUCAAAUCAGGUAGGACUACCCGCUGAACUUAA
This 314-nucleotide unclassified non-coding RNA is filed under the name uncultured Tomentella. RNAcentral's name for it is "sequence contains ITS2". Lineage: Eukaryota; Fungi; Basidiomycota; Agaricomycetes; Thelephorales; Thelephoraceae. The record is from RNAcentral.